This 433-nucleotide ribosomal RNA is filed under the name uncultured bacterium. RNAcentral's name for it is "partial 16S ribosomal RNA". It matches the Rfam family "Bacterial small subunit ribosomal RNA", at positions 29 to 507 of the family's 1533-position model. The record is from RNAcentral.
AACGAACGCUGGCGGCAUGCCUAACACAUGCAAGUCGAACGAGACCUUCGGGUCUAUUGGCGCACGGGUGCGUAACGCGGGGGAACCUGCCCUUAGGUGCGGAAUAACUUCCCGAAAGGGGUGCUAAUACCGGAUAAUGUCUUCGGACCAAAGAUUUAUCGCCUUUGGAUGGGCCCGCGUUGGAUUCGCUGGUUGGUAGGGUAAACGCCUACCAAGGCGACGAGCCACAGCUGGUCUGAGAGGAUGAUCAGCCACACUGGGACUGAGACACGGCCCAGACUACUACGGGAGGCGGGCGUGGGGGAUAUUGGCACGUCGGCGGAAGGCUGAACCACCACUGGCUCGUGAGUAAUGACGGCCUUAGGGUUGUAAAGCUCUUUUACCCCGGAUCAUAAUGACAUUACCGGGAGAAUAAGCUCCGGCUAACUCCGUG